AAUCUUCCGCAAUGGACGAAAGUCUGACGGAGCAACGCCGCGUGAGCGAUGAAGGCCUUCGGGUCGUAAAGCUCUGUUGUUAGGGAAGAACACGUACCAUUCGAACAGGGUGGUACCUUGACGGUACCUAACGAGGAAGCCACGGCUUACUACGUGCCGGCAGCCGCGGUAAUACGUAGGUGGCAAUCGUUGUCCGGAAUUAUUGGGCGUAAAGCGCGCGCAGGCGGUCUUUUAAGUCUGAUGUGAAAUCUUGCGGCUCAACCGUAAGCGGUCAUUGGAAACUGGAAGACUUGAGUACAGAAGAGGAGAGUGGAAUUCCACGUGUAGCGGUGAAAUGCGUAGAGAUGUGGAGGAACACCAGUGGCGAAGGCGGCUCUCUGGUCUGUAACUGACGCUGAGGCGCGAAAGCGUGGGGAUCAAAC
Molecule: ribosomal RNA, 422 nt
Filed under: uncultured bacterium
Lineage: Bacteria
Description: partial 16S ribosomal RNA
Rfam family: Bacterial small subunit ribosomal RNA
Source: RNAcentral